GUUUUGGCAUAAAUCUCAGUCACCCAAGAAGCUAAGCAAGCUACUUGAUAUCUACUACAACUCUGUUGGACGAAAUUGUGUACUAUUGCUCAAUGUGCCACCUAAUUCAACUGGUCUAAUAUCUGAGUCUGAUGUUCAAAGAUUGAAGGAAUUUAGAAGCGCAAUUGACACAAUUUUUGGUACUAAUUUGGCGGAGAAAUGCUUUAUAAAAG
Molecule: unclassified non-coding RNA, 212 nt
Filed under: Hevea brasiliensis (rubber tree)
Lineage: Eukaryota; Viridiplantae; Streptophyta; Magnoliopsida; Malpighiales; Euphorbiaceae
Source: RNAcentral